Molecule: long non-coding RNA, 807 nt
Filed under: Rattus norvegicus (Norway rat)
Lineage: Eukaryota; Metazoa; Chordata; Mammalia; Rodentia; Muridae
Description: long non-coding RNA NONRATT006412
Source: RNAcentral
UGAAAAGUUGCAACGAACUGAUCGAUCUCAAGCACCAGACCCUUCCAAUUUGGAAGUGAAAGAUUGGGGAAAAAAUGCCCCGGGUGAGAAGGGAUGAGGUAAAAGGAACACAGUAUUUUGGGAGAAAAACUUUGUCUUAGUGCUUAUGAAAGGUGUUAUUAAGCUCCCGCGCCGGCUCUGGGGACGCCGCGGCGUCCGGGCGCUGACGCGACAGCUUUACAGAGUCAUACUGAUCAGAUUUGAUAGAGGCAGACCGCCUGAAAAUUUAUUCAGGAGAAUCAAACAAAAGGACAUCUCAGUGCCCGUGCACAGCCUGAUAGAGUUAAUGUAAUUGGGUUGUGAGUAAAAAUACUCAGGGCUGUGUUUCACUUCCAUACCAUUGGCAAAUGUCAGUCGUUCUGCUCAGAUAAUAUCUCUCAGUAUCUUACAGAAUUGGGUUUCAACACGUUGGUGGACUAGUCCAGGAAUUGAGACAAUCCAUCGCCCAUAUCAGCUCCACUCGAGUGGAUAGUCACCGUGAACACCAUCUGGUUUUUUCCCUAUUUGUCUAUUGUUUGUCUCUGGUGCACCAGGAUGUCCCCAUGUCUGUCAGUGUAUGUCUGUGGUUUUUGUUUCUCGUUGUCUAAAAGUUUUAUGUUUCAUGUUCAAAAGAAAAAAUGGUAAAAACUUUACCUGCUGGUCGUGCACACCUUGACUUGGUUUUAACUCGUUUCAAAAAGGAACAAAUGAAUAAAAAACAGUUUCAAUCAGGUUUUUAGAGCCCUGUGCCUGGAGCCAGGUGUCUAGAUUAGCUGGAGAAGCUGACCA